This 1187-nucleotide long non-coding RNA is filed under the name Mytilus galloprovincialis (Mediterranean mussel). The record is from RNAcentral. Lineage: Eukaryota; Metazoa; Mollusca; Bivalvia; Mytilida; Mytilidae.
UGACAAACCCAUGUCCUAUGGUAAAGAUACAAUUUUUUAAUGCACAUUAUUCACAGCGGGGCCCACAGAGAUGGCUCCCAUCUCAAUGAUAUCUAGUUUAAUUCAAAAACCAUUGAGACAGUAUAUUUUGGGAUUAUUCGUACAUUCACUGAAAAUAAAACAAUGUAUGAAAGCAUAUUUAUUGAAUAUAAUGCAUUAGAAGAAGAACUUUCAAAAAUGAGAAUAUUUUGCCAAUGUUUUGAAAUUUGCCAGAUUAUAACAUUCUACUCAAUUUGCUGUCAUUUGGUUGGAAAAUAGGGUAUAUUUUUAACAAAAGAACUUUGUUGUUUAUAGAGUCAAGUUUGAUUCAGAAAGCUGUUGCUUUAAUAGUAAAUUUGGUCCAAAAUUGUACCUACUCCUUUGUAAAAAAUAAUGUGUUCGUGGUUUUAGAUAUUGUACACUCCUGGCACCUGCCUAAUUUGGUUAGAACUCACAACCUCAGUGUUUAUAGUUUAAUCAUCAAUGUAAGAUAAAAUACUUAGAAUAAUAAGCCACCAAGGCACCACAUGUUAAAUUGAUUUACUCAUGAAGAUGUGAACAGAUAUGUAUACUUCUCUCUGGUGAGGGUAAAAGAUUUGUACAGAAAAAUAUCUAUAAGUAUGUACUUCUUUGAAAAGGGUGAAUAGAUGCUACCAGAAAUUUAUUUCUCUGCAAUAAAUUAAAGUGAAGGGAUACAUGGAGAAAUAACAGAUUGGUUUACUCUCUUGAAAAGGGCUAUUGACAUGUAUUUAGAGGUACGGUUAGCUCUGGGAUACACUGGAGGUAGUUGUGACCAGAUUUGUGUAUUUUAUUAGGUUAAACAAUGUGUACAGAGAUUAUAUCAAGAAGCUACACUUUUCUGUGAAAGUGUGAAUUCAUUUGUAUUGAGAUAAGGCAAUGGGUUAUUGGUCAGUGAUAUUAGUUGCUUUAAUUGUUCAUGAUAGUAAACUUUGGUUGUUCAUGAGGUGUAGGUUCAUUUCUAAUAAACAAUUGUAUGCCUAUGUUUUAUAUGUAGAUAGUAAAUAUUUUGUAUGCUGAUUUUGAUAAGCAGUUAAAUUGUAAAUUGGUCAGUAAUUUAGUUUGUACUGAUAAUUUGUCACUGAUCAAGCAUAAUAUGCUUCCUGAAUAUUGAUGAAAAUUUUGGCACUGGAUGUAAAGUAAGCAGUAGU